UCCUUCGUACCAUCGACUGAUAAAGCAAAAUAUAUUAAUUUUUCAGACUAAAUUAUUUUAACAUCUAUGGCUUUACUCUUCUCCAAGUCUUUUUAAGUGCUAGGUUUCAUUUCCUCGCAAUUCACAUCAGGGUAAAUUAUUUUUCUGACAAUAUAUAGAUACAGUCUUAACUGUUCAUUGUUGUGCAGUUUGAGAAUGAAGUUGGUAGUGUUGGUGAUGAUUGUUGUUGGAUUAAUCAUAUUUAGUGUUGAAGCUGAAGGAAGGAAAGAACAAAUUAGCAGUUGGAAAACUAUCAAAUUUGUUAUUAUAUCUAAUAGGAAGUCAAUUACCCAGAGUCAAUACGAUCUAUAUUUUAAUUUAGUUGAUUGAGCAUUAUUGUGGCGACUGGAGAAAAUUUACAUUGAUACAGAAAUUAGUGGAAGAUUGCAAAAAUGAUUAUUUUAAUUUAGCCUUCAGGAUUGACUUGGACUAAUUAAGCAAAGAAAAGAUGUUUUUAAGUACUAAGUAAUUACUUUCCUUGAAAAUGCAUUUUGAAAAAAAGAUGUCACUCCAAGUAUUUAAGUACUAGACUUCGUUAUCUCUACCUUCAUCAGGUUAUUUUCAAAACAUCAAGGCAAAAGCAUCAACAUAGAUACAGAAAUUAUCAUGAAGAGUUUGAACAUGAAGCUGGUAAUCCUAGUCUUGAUUGUUGUUGGAUCAAUCUCAUUCUGCGUUGAAGCUCAAGGAAGAAAAGAAAAAAUUAGCUAUUGGGGCACUAGCAGAAUGCUAUAUGAAGAGGGAAAAAAACACAUCAUGGUAAAGUUGAAAAAAGAUGAAAACUUGCUACUUGGUUUGAGGCCAAAGAGACUUGUGCGUGCUAAAUCUGGUGCCUCCGUUAGUAUCUCUAUACCCGGCGGACAUGGUUGAUUAUGUAUUCGAGAGAACAAGAAGAAGAAGAAGAAGAAGAAGAUAGGGAAGCUUGUAUUCAAAUUUUUUGAGAUUUAUUUCUCAAAAAAAAUUAUAAAUUUCCUAAAUAUUAAUGAAAUAAGAAUGUUUUAUGCUU
Molecule: non-coding RNA, 1042 nt
Organism: Jatropha curcas
Lineage: Eukaryota; Viridiplantae; Streptophyta; Magnoliopsida; Malpighiales; Euphorbiaceae
Source: RefSeq, a predicted model, not a curated record